RNAcentral lists this ribosomal RNA (253 nucleotides) under uncultured bacterium. Its description in RNAcentral is "partial 16S ribosomal RNA". It matches the Rfam family "Bacterial small subunit ribosomal RNA", at positions 524 to 776 of the family's 1533-position model. The record is from RNAcentral.
UACAGAGGGUGCGAGCGUUAAUCGGAAUUACUGGGCGUAAAGCGCGCGUAGGCGGCUUUGCAAGUCGGGUGUGAAAUCCCCAGGCUUAACCUGGGAACUGCAUUCGAGACUGCAUUGCUAGAGUAUGGGAGAGGGAAGUGGAAUUUCCGGUGUAGCGGUGAAAUGCGUAGAUAUCGGAAGGAACAUCAGUGGCGAAGGCGGCUACCUGGCUUGACACUGACACUGAGGCGCGAAAGCGUGGGGAGCAAACAGG